GGUCAUAAUCAUAUCAAAAACUGUUCAUCAAUGCACUACAGGCCACUGAGAAUUUUUACCACAUCAUCCGUCACAUUACGGUCAUGACUAUAACGAAUAAUCCCUGAUCAUAAUCACACCAAGUCCAUCUAUGCACGUAAGCCAAAGAUGACUUUUAUCACAAUAUAAACAUGAGAAUGAUGACAAUGAUAUAAGCAUUAAUCAAACGAAAAUAAGGAUAAAUAUUAAAGACUUUAAAUUUAUCCAAAUAUUAUCAAUCACUUAAUAAACUCAUAAUCUAAUAUUAUUA
Molecule: long non-coding RNA, 289 nt
Filed under: Panax ginseng (ginseng)
Lineage: Eukaryota; Viridiplantae; Streptophyta; Magnoliopsida; Apiales; Araliaceae
Description: long non-coding RNA (PGIN_LNC015113)
Source: RNAcentral